RNAcentral lists this ribosomal RNA (2904 nucleotides) under Escherichia coli. RNAcentral's name for it is "23S ribosomal RNA". It matches the Rfam family "Bacterial large subunit ribosomal RNA". Lineage: Bacteria; Pseudomonadati; Pseudomonadota; Gammaproteobacteria; Enterobacterales; Enterobacteriaceae. The record is from RNAcentral.
GGUUAAGCGACUAAGCGUACACGGUGGAUGCCCUGGCAGUCAGAGGCGAUGAAGGACGUGCUAAUCUGCGAUAAGCGUCGGUAAGGUGAUAUGAACCGUUAUAACCGGCGAUUUCCGAAUGGGGAAACCCAGUGUGUUUCGACACACUAUCAUUAACUGAAUCCAUAGGUUAAUGAGGCGAACCGGGGGAACUGAAACAUCUAAGUACCCCGAGGAAAAGAAAUCAACCGAGAUUCCCCCAGUAGCGGCGAGCGAACGGGGAGCAGCCCAGAGCCUGAAUCAGUGUGUGUGUUAGUGGAAGCGUCUGGAAAGGCGCGCGAUACAGGGUGACAGCCCCGUACACAAAAAUGCACAUAUUGUGAGCUCGAUGAGUAGGGCGGGACACGUGGUAUCCUGUCUGAAUAUGGGGGGACCAUCCUCCAAGGCUAAAUACUCCUGACUGACCGAUAGUGAACCAGUACCGUGAGGGAAAGGCGAAAAGAACCCCGGCGAGGGGAGUGAAAAAGAACCUGAAACCGUGUACGUACAAGCAGUGGGAGCACGCUUAGGCGUGUGACUGCGUACCUUUUGUAUAAUGGGUCAGCGACUUAUAUUCUGUAGCAAGGUUAACCGAAUAGGGGAGCCGAAGGGAAACCGAGUCUUAACUGGGCGUUAAGUUGCAGGGUAUAGACCCGAAACCCGGUGAUCUAGCCAUGGGCAGGUUGAAGGUUGGGUAACACUAACUGGAGGACCGAACCGACUAAUGUUGAAAAAUUAGCGGAUGACUUGUGGCUGGGGGUGAAAGGCCAAUCAAACCGGGAGAUAGCUGGUUCUCCCCGAAAGCUAUUUAGGUAGCGCCUCGUGAAUUCAUCUCCGGGGGUAGAGCACUGUUUCGGCAAGGGGGUCAUCCCGACUUACCAACCCGAUGCAAACUGCGAAUACCGGAGAAUGUUAUCACGGGAGACACACGGCGGGUGCUAACGUCCGUCGUGAAGAGGGAAACAACCCAGACCGCCAGCUAAGGUCCCAAAGUCAUGGUUAAGUGGGAAACGAUGUGGGAAGGCCCAGACAGCCAGGAUGUUGGCUUAGAAGCAGCCAUCAUUUAAAGAAAGCGUAAUAGCUCACUGGUCGAGUCGGCCUGCGCGGAAGAUGUAACGGGGCUAAACCAUGCACCGAAGCUGCGGCAGCGACGCUUAUGCGUUGUUGGGUAGGGGAGCGUUCUGUAAGCCUGCGAAGGUGUGCUGUGAGGCAUGCUGGAGGUAUCAGAAGUGCGAAUGCUGACAUAAGUAACGAUAAAGCGGGUGAAAAGCCCGCUCGCCGGAAGACCAAGGGUUCCUGUCCAACGUUAAUCGGGGCAGGGUGAGUCGACCCCUAAGGCGAGGCCGAAAGGCGUAGUCGAUGGGAAACAGGUUAAUAUUCCUGUACUUGGUGUUACUGCGAAGGGGGGACGGAGAAGGCUAUGUUGGCCGGGCGACGGUUGUCCCGGUUUAAGCGUGUAGGCUGGUUUUCCAGGCAAAUCCGGAAAAUCAAGGCUGAGGCGUGAUGACGAGGCACUACGGUGCUGAAGUAACAAAUGCCCUGCUUCCAGGAAAAGCCUCUAAGCAUCAGGUAACAUCAAAUCGUACCCCAAACCGACACAGGUGGUCAGGUAGAGAAUACCAAGGCGCUUGAGAGAACUCGGGUGAAGGAACUAGGCAAAAUGGUGCCGUAACUUCGGGAGAAGGCACGCUGAUAUGUAGGUGAAGCGACUUGCUCGUGGAGCUGAAAUCAGUCGAAGAUACCAGCUGGCUGCAACUGUUUAUUAAAAACACAGCACUGUGCAAACACGAAAGUGGACGUAUACGGUGUGACGCCUGCCCGGUGCCGGAAGGUUAAUUGAUGGGGUCAGCGCAAGCGAAGCUCUUGAUCGAAGCCCCGGUAAACGGCGGCCGUAACUAUAACGGUCCUAAGGUAGCGAAAUUCCUUGUCGGGUAAGUUCCGACCUGCACGAAUGGCGUAAUGAUGGCCAGGCUGUCUCCACCCGAGACUCAGUGAAAUUGAACUCGCUGUGAAGAUGCAGUGUACCCGCGGCAAGACGGAAAGACCCCGUGAACCUUUACUAUAGCUUGACACUGAACAUUGAGCCUUGAUGUGUAGGAUAGGUGGGAGGCUUAGAAGUGUGGACGCCAGUCUGCAUGGAGCCGACCUUGAAAUACCACCCUUUAAUGUUUGAUGUUCUAACGUUGACCCGUAAUCCGGGUUGCGGACAGUGUCUGGUGGGUAGUUUGACUGGGGCGGUCUCCUCCUAAAGAGUAACGGAGGAGCACGAAGGUUGGCUAAUCCUGGUCGGACAUCAGGAGGUUAGUGCAAUGGCAUAAGCCAGCUUGACUGCGAGCGUGACGGCGCGAGCAGGUGCGAAAGCAGGUCAUAGUGAUCCGGUGGUUCUGAAUGGAAGGGCCAUCGCUCAACGGAUAAAAGGUACUCCGGGGAUAACAGGCUGAUACCGCCCAAGAGUUCAUAUCGACGGCGGUGUUUGGCACCUCGAUGUCGGCUCAUCACAUCCUGGGGCUGAAGUAGGUCCCAAGGGUAUGGCUGUUCGCCAUUUAAAGUGGUACGCGAGCUGGGUUUAGAACGUCGUGAGACAGUUCGGUCCCUAUCUGCCGUGGGCGCUGGAGAACUGAGGGGGGCUGCUCCUAGUACGAGAGGACCGGAGUGGACGCAUCACUGGUGUUCGGGUUGUCAUGCCAAUGGCACUGCCCGGUAGCUAAAUGCGGAAGAGAUAAGUGCUGAAAGCAUCUAAGCACGAAACUUGCCCCGAGAUGAGUUCUCCCUGACCCUUUAAGGGUCCUGAAGGAACGUUGAAGACGACGACGUUGAUAGGCCGGGUGUGUAAGCGCAGCGAUGCGUUGAGCUAACCGGUACUAAUGAACCGUGAGGCUUAACCUU